AGUCGAACGAUGAAGCCCAGCUUGCUGGGUGGAUUAGUGGCGAACGGGUGAGUAACACGUGAGUAACCUGCCCUUGACUCUGGGAUAAGCCUGGGAAACUGGGUCUAAUACUGGAUAUGACUUCUCACCGCAUGGUGGGGGGUGGAAAGAUUUAUUGGUCUUGGAUGGACUCGCGGCCUAUCAGCUUGUUGGUGAGGUAAUGGCUCACCAAGGCGACGACGGGUAGCCGGCCUGAGAGGGUGACCGGCCACACUGGGACUGAGACACGGCCCAGACUCCUACGGGAGGCAGCAGUGGGGAAUAUUGCACAAUGGGCGCAAGCCUGAUGCAGCGACGCCGCGUGAGGGAUGACGGCCUUCGGGUUGUAAACCUCUUUCAGUAGGGAAGAAGCGAAAGUGACGGUACCUGCAGAAGAAGCGCCGGCUAACUACGUGCCAGCAGCCGCGGUAAUACGUAGGGCGCGAGCGUUAUCCGGAAUUAUUGGGCGUAAAGAGCUCGUAGGCGGUUUGUCGCGUCUGCCGUGAAAGUCCGGGGCUUAACCCCGGAUCUGCGGUGGGUACGGGCAGACUAGAGUGCAGUAGGGGAGACUGGAAUUCCUGGUGUAGCGGUGAAAUGCGCAGAUAUCAGGAGGAACACCGAUGGCGAAGGCAGGUCUCUGGGCUGUAACUGACGCUGAGGAGCGAAAGCAUGGGGAGCGAACAGGAUUAGAUACCCUGGUAGUCCAUGCCGUAAACGUUGGGCACUAGGUGUGGGGGACAUUCCACGUUUUCCGCGCCGUAGCUAACGCAUUAAGUGCCCCGCCUGGGGAGUACGGCCGCAAGGCUAAAACUCAAAGGAAUUGACGGGGGCCCGCACAAGCGGCGGAGCAUGCGGAUUAAUUCGAUGCAACGCGAAGAACCUUACCAAGGCUUGACAUGUUCCUGACCGCCGUAGAGAUACGGUUUCCCCUUUGGGGCAGGUUCACAGGUGGUGCAUGGUUGUCGUCAGCUCGUGUCGUGAGAUGUUGGGUUAAGUCCCGCAACGAGCGCAACCCUCGUUCCAUGUUGCCAGCACGUAGUGGUGGGGACUCAUGGGAGACUGCCGGGGUCAACUCGAAGGAAGGUGGGGACGACGUCAAAUCAUCAUGCCCCUUAUGUCUUGGGCUUCACGCAUGCUACAAUGGCCGGUACAAUGGGUUGCGAUACUGUGAGGUGGAGCUAAUCCCAAAAAGCCGGUC
RNAcentral lists this ribosomal RNA (1216 nucleotides) under Micrococcus terreus. RNAcentral's name for it is "bacterial SSU rRNA". It matches the Rfam family "Bacterial small subunit ribosomal RNA", at positions 60 to 1287 of the family's 1533-position model. The record is from RNAcentral. Lineage: Bacteria; Bacillati; Actinomycetota; Actinomycetes; Micrococcales; Micrococcaceae.